This is a long non-coding RNA of Homo sapiens (human), 351 nucleotides long. RefSeq lists it as uncharacterized. The transcript is spliced from 4 exons. NCBI's taxonomy places the organism in Eukaryota, Metazoa, Chordata, Mammalia, Primates, Hominidae. The record is from RefSeq and is a predicted model, not a curated record.
ACUCCACACCAAUUCCACCUUGCCUAGGCAGCGCCAAAGCACCUUCUCUGAAAGCUGUUAAGUGAAGGCUGUGACUUCAGCCCCUUAGAUUCAGCUCUUGUCUGGGUGAUGGAGGACAAGGAUCUCGUCAGCUUCUCUGGGUUGGGACAGGCUGCAGCGUGGUCCAGACUCAGUUGAUCUUCCUGUGCUGAGACCCUCUAGCAGAAUCACAACAGAGAGACACGUGACCUCUGGACACUAUGCUGAGCCCCGAGCAUGGAUUGCCUGGAACACUUCAUUACUUGAAACACAGAGCAAGAAGCAGAAGUUACAAAUCAGGUGUUCUCUUUAAGAAGCUGUAUGGAGAGUUUG